UGGGGAAUAUUGCACAAUGGACGGAAGUCUGAUGCAGCAACGCCGCGUGCGGGAUGACGGCCUUCGGGUUGUAAACCGCUUUUUCUCAUGACGAAGUUUUUUGACGGUAGUGGGGGAAGAAGCACCGGCUAACUACGUGCCAGCAGCCGCGGUGAUACGUAGGGUGCGAGCGUUGUCCGGAAUUAUUGGGCGUAAAGAGCUUGUAGGCGGUUUGUCGCGUCGAUAGUGCAAACUCAGUGCUUAACACUGAGCCUGCUGUUGAUACGGGCAGACUAGAGGAAGGUAGGGGAGAAUGGAAUUCCCGGUGGAGCGGUGGAAUGCGCAGAUAUCGGGAGGAACACCGGUGGCGAAGGCGGUUCUCUGGGCCUUUCCUGACGCUGAGAAGCGAAAGCGUGGGGAGCGAACAGG
RNAcentral lists this ribosomal RNA (408 nucleotides) under Fusobacteriota bacterium. RNAcentral describes it as "Fusobacteria bacterium partial 16S ribosomal RNA". It matches the Rfam family "Bacterial small subunit ribosomal RNA", at positions 355 to 776 of the family's 1533-position model. The record is from RNAcentral. Lineage: Bacteria; Fusobacteriati; Fusobacteriota.